UGUCCUGGGGCACAUUUCCUUCAGCCCAGACAAAGACACAACUGUUCUUGAACAUCAAAGGGUACAGCUAGUCACACCCCAGGCAUCAUUUUAGAGCUUGAUGCCACCUCAUUAUGUCACUGUUUUGCAAUAAAGAGACUAUAAGCACUACCUUUUCCCCAUGCUGGAGCACCAGUGAGGGGACUCCAGGCUUUUAAGCCCUUCAGAUGUAAAUCUCUGUCUGGCAGCCCCUCUCCAGCUUCCAUUAGGAAAUUGGUUUAUAAUGUGUUAUAAUGGGUGACAGUUUUUCAAGUCACUUAAUUGGAACUGUUCUUGUGAUUUUUUUUUUUACUUAGCUCUUAUAUCCUAGUCCUAAACACUUUCUGAUCUUUGGAACUUUAUAAAGUCCCAGCUGAGGAGAUGGCUCAGGGGCUGGGAUCUUGUCCUGUAAGGACGCACAUAUAUGGGAAACCCUAUGAGACAUUGUCUAGGUGAAGAGUUUUCCUUCAGCCACGUCCACCGAGAGCGCUGCCUACAAAAGUAGAAAUGGACUAAUAAGACUGGCCACAGUCUAAAAGCUGUACAAGUACAAUAAUCAAGAGUUAAAAAGACGACUUACAGAAUGGGACAAUAUUUGCAAACUACUUACCCAUGAUCAGAAUAGUAACCAGAAAUGGGCAGUUCUCAAAAGACACAUGCAGAUAGCCAAUAAGAGUGUGAGGAUGUUGUUAGCAUCAUUAAUCAUCAGGGAGGUACAAAUUAAAACCACGAAGAGACAAGACAUCCCGCUCUAUGUGUGUGUGUACAUGUUUGUUUGGGUGCAUGUGUAUGGUUGCACAUGUGUCCACAUACAGGCUAGAGUUCAACAUUAAGUGUGACUCUUCAGAAAGGUUCUAUCUGGCCUGAGGUUUGUUGAGUAAGCAGUCUGGCUGGUCAGGAAACCCAGGAAUCUGACUCUUCUCUCUCCCCAGUUCUGGGAUUAAAGUAUAUUGCUUUCUCAUUACUGUAUACAUUGAACGAAUAAAUGAUAAUAAAUG
This is a long non-coding RNA of Mastomys coucha (southern multimammate mouse), 1016 nucleotides long. RefSeq lists it as uncharacterized. The transcript is spliced from 2 exons. The record is from RefSeq and is a predicted model, not a curated record. Lineage: Eukaryota; Metazoa; Chordata; Mammalia; Rodentia; Muridae.